Long non-coding RNA from Pipra filicauda (Wire-tailed manakin), 1269 nucleotides. RefSeq lists it as uncharacterized. The record is from RefSeq and is a predicted model, not a curated record. The transcript has 2 exons. Lineage: Eukaryota; Metazoa; Chordata; Aves; Passeriformes; Pipridae.
GAAGCCCCGGGGGAGGCGCGGGCGGAGCGGGGCAGGGGAUCGGUCGCUCCGCCGCGUCCCGGGCCCGCCCUGCCCGCUGGGCUAGCGGGACAAGACUACGGGGCGGGCCGCGGGGAGGCGCAGGCGGGCCGGCCUCCGUAGGGACCCUGCGACUCUCCCGGCUGAGCUCUGAACCCGGCGCGCCCUGCCGUGUUCCAUCCGGGAAGGCGUGAAAAGAGGGAACGGGUAGAUCAGCCUGAAAGUUGCGGGGCAGCGCGGCUCCGUGGUGCAGUUCAAAAUGAAGCGGCUCGCCCCGCUGGGCAAGCUGAUGAAGGCGUACUGCGGGCUCAGGUCGGCACCGACCCCGCGCCCCCCGGGCAAGGGUCCCCUCGCUGCUUCCCUGCCCGGAGCCUGGAACGUGCCGGUGCGGCGGAGCGAGCCUAUCCAGGCGUGCGGGAGAGCGAGGAGUUGGGAUGCUGGCAGCUUCUCGGUGUGCAGUUCUCAUUAGAGAUGGAAGAUGAAGACACGAUCGACGUGUUCCAGCAGCAGAACAGGUGGAGGGUGCUAAGACACGCUGUCCUUUGGAGAAAGAGGAGUUUCAGGAUCCUCAUCUCACCUGACUCUCUCAUCUGUCCUCGAAUUUGCUGUUUUAAUAGUGAACAAAUGAGCAUUCCAAUCACAGGGCUCCUCAAAACUUCAGAGGACUUAACAGUGAACAAAUGAGCAUUCCAAUCACACGGGGCUCCUCAAAACUUCAGAGGACGUUUACCAAAGUUGCUUGUUGUCUUUGACAUUCUGCAUGCACAAGUCAAAACAGUAUCUGCAGGGAUGGAUCAGCAUUUGAAUUGGGCCAGCUUGAUUUAAGUUCAGAUUAAGUCAUGCGUAUUCUCUCUGCUGUUAUUAUUUUUUUAAUUGUUUUUACUAUUUUUUUUUUCUUUCUUUAAACCUAUAGCCUGAACAUUCAUCCAUGUGUUGGGACAUGGAGCGUUCAUUCCUGGCUCUGUUCAGUCUUGUGCCUCUGUUAAAUUAUGUAAAUCAGUGUAUUUUCAUGCUAGUUUUGAGCAUGAAAGUUUACUUUUAGGAGGCACCCAAGAGGAGGAACAGAGAUACUGGUUUUAAGUUCUUAGCUCUUGUUGCAAACGCAGUCGGUCCCUUGGGUGGCACUGAGCCCUUGGCAUGGGCUGAACACGAGACAAUACUUACAGUAGAGUUCACAUACUGAAGGUUUACAUGUGUUUUGUCAUGUUAUGAUAAAGGUGUCCAAAAUAUACAUUUUUUAUGCAGAAAUGA